Molecule: long non-coding RNA, 668 nt
Filed under: Spirodela polyrhiza (greater duckweed)
Lineage: Eukaryota; Viridiplantae; Streptophyta; Magnoliopsida; Alismatales; Araceae
Description: long non-coding RNA (SPOL_LNC000544)
Source: RNAcentral
CUUGUUAGUAUCGGUGAAGCUGUUCGCGAAUAUCUGGAACGCCACCGUCAGGAGGGAGCCGCCCAUCCUCGCGACAGGUGCUCUCAUGGCGGCGCCGCCGUCGGGAGUGACGACGAACCCAGACGGGAGCAGCGCCACGUUGGAGGAGUCGCCGCCGUUCACGACGAGAUCUGCGGCGGCGGCCUCCAGCGGCGCAUGCACAACCAGCGAGGACGACGCGUCGGUGGAGGCCUCUUGCAGGAUCAGCUUGGCGCCGCUGGCGGCGCCGCCAGGCUGCAUGUGCCCAUGCACGAGUAAAACAAAAAGAUCAGUACGGCAUGGUAGGACUGGUUUUGAAACCGAUCCCUUCUGCUUCCUCUCUCUCUCUCUCUAAAAACUCUCUCAUCCUGUGUCCGAGCAGACGGGAAGCUGCAAUGGUGGUGAUGACGACUCCAGCGUGCAGAAAGGAAACGUAGCUGUAUAUGUAGGCGACUUACUCUGGCGCGAAGAAGAGAGACGGCGUUUCCCCGCCGGUGGCCGGUGGCUAUGGUGGCCGCCUCCUGCACCGGACCACCGUCGGACAGGAUUCUCCACUCGCUGCGCAGGAGGAGGUCGAAGAGAGGUUUCGGCGGCACCGCCAGCCACACCGAGGCGGCGGCGCAGAGAACUGCAGACGAUGGCUCUCCGGG